UAGAUGGAGGCUCACUGGUUUGAGUGUUUAGCUGUUAACUAAGAGUUUGUAGGAUCGAAGCCUUCUCAUCUAG
This 73-nucleotide transfer RNA is filed under the name Paraliparis meridionalis. RNAcentral's name for it is "tRNA-Asn". RNAcentral also lists the same sequence under 1 other name. The record is from RNAcentral. Lineage: Eukaryota; Metazoa; Chordata; Actinopteri; Perciformes; Liparidae.